RNAcentral lists this long non-coding RNA (649 nucleotides) under Pan troglodytes (chimpanzee). RNAcentral's name for it is "long non-coding RNA NONPTRT016878". Lineage: Eukaryota; Metazoa; Chordata; Mammalia; Primates; Hominidae. The record is from RNAcentral.
CACUGGUUUAAAUCAUUUAUCUCCAUGUAGAGAUUUGAGUACAAAAAUAAACGGCAACAAAACAGAAGGAGUGUGAAAUCCAGGGAUCCACAGGGCUUCUGUCCUCCACCUUCCAUGCAGCUGGGGGCUGCAUCCUCUGUGGGGUGGCUUCAUCCUCUGUGGGGUCUGCGGGGCCUGCUCCAAGUCAUCAGCAUUCCAUGCCCACCUGGACCUGGUCCCAGACUUUUGGGGAAGCCCUCAGCCUGGGGCUCCUGGCACCCCCGUUGCGGCUGGGGAAGAGAGGUGUGGAAUCCCCAGAGAAAGGGAAGGAAAGGCAUGAGGGGCCUUCCCUGGGGGGAAGGUCACAGGCUGGGGGCUAAGAUGACGGCCAGGAGGCUCAGGGCCAGCCCCAGGCUGAGGGCACUGUGGGCGAGGGCGGUGCGGGUGGGUGCAGAGUUGUGCAGCUUCUCAUUGCACAGGUCCUCCUGGCAGCACUCGGUGGAGCUGGUGCCGCUGCUGACCUGGCCUUGCAGGGUGUAGCUGGGUGUGCACGACUCCGCACAGUCCUUCUUCACCAGAUUCCCCCUCAGAGGCUCCACUGGGCACAGAAGCGAGAGCUGGCCGGGCAGACCACAGAAUGCUUGCAGUUGCUGGAGCUGGUGCACACGUG